Molecule: unclassified non-coding RNA, 375 nt
Filed under: uncultured Gammaproteobacteria bacterium
Lineage: Bacteria; Pseudomonadati; Pseudomonadota; Gammaproteobacteria
Description: contains 16S-23S intergenic spacer region
Source: RNAcentral
UCCGGUUCAUCACCGGCAGUCCCCUUAGAGUCCCCAACUAAAUGAUGGCAACUAAGGGCAAGGGUUGCGCUCGUUACGGGACUUAACCCAACAUCUCACAACACGAGCUGACGACAGCCAUGCAGCACCUGUCUCCAGGUUCCUUUCGGCACUCCCACAUCUCUGCAGGAUUCCUAGGAUGUCAAGGGUAGGUAAGGUUCUUCGCGUUGCAUCGAAUUAAACCACAUGCUCCACCGCUUGUGCGGGCCCCCGUCAAUUCAUUUGAGUUUCAACCUUGCGGCCGUACUUCCCAGGCGGAAGACUUAUCGCGUUAGCUUCGAUACCGAUAGGUUCCCCUACCAACAUCUAGUCCUCAUCGUUUACAGCGUGGACUAC